GCGCGCUUGGCGGAAUGGUAGACGCACGAGACUUAAAAUCUCGAGUUCGGUUAGAACGUGCGGGUUCAAGUCCCGCAGCGCGCACCA
This 87-nucleotide transfer RNA is filed under the name Bombella intestini. RNAcentral describes it as "tRNA-Leu". It matches the Rfam family "tRNA". From Rfam's summary of the family: Transfer RNA (tRNA) molecules are approximately 80 nucleotides in length. Their secondary structure includes four short double-helical elements and three loops (D, anti-codon, and T loops). Further hydrogen bonds mediate the characteristic L-shaped molecular structure. tRNAs have two regions of fundamental functional importance: the anti-codon, which is responsible for specific mRNA codon recognition, and the 3' end, to which the tRNAs corresponding amino acid is attached (by aminoacyl-tRNA synthetases). tRNAs cope with the degeneracy of the genetic code in two manners: having more than one tRNA (with a specific anti-codon) for a particular amino acid; and 'wobble' base-pairing, i.e. permitting non-standard base-pairing at the 3rd anti-codon position. RNAcentral also lists the same sequence under 3 other names. The record is from RNAcentral. Lineage: Bacteria; Pseudomonadati; Pseudomonadota; Alphaproteobacteria; Acetobacterales; Acetobacteraceae.